This 445-nucleotide ribosomal RNA is filed under the name Capnocytophaga gingivalis. RNAcentral describes it as "bacterial SSU rRNA". It matches the Rfam family "Bacterial small subunit ribosomal RNA", at positions 28 to 474 of the family's 1533-position model. Lineage: Bacteria; Pseudomonadati; Bacteroidota; Flavobacteriia; Flavobacteriales; Flavobacteriaceae. The record is from RNAcentral.
GAUGAACGCUAGCGGCAGGCCUAACACAUGCAAGUCGAGGGAGAAGCCCUUUCGGGGGCAGAAACCGGCGCACGGGUGCGUAACGCGUAUGCAACCUACCUUUCACAGGGGGAUAGCCCGAAGAAAUUUGGAUUAAUACCCCAUAAUAUUAUUGGAUGGCAUCAUUUGAUAAUUAAAACUGCGGUGGUGAAAGAUGGGCAUGCGUCCUAUUAGCUAGUUGGAGUGGUAACGGCACCCCAAGGCUACGAUAGGUAGGGGUCCUGAGAGGGAGAUCCCCCACACUGGUACUGAGACAGGGACCAGACUCCUACGGGAGGCAGCAGUGAGGAAUAUUGGUCAAUGGUCGGAAGACUGAACCAGCCAUGCCGCGUGCAGGAAGAAUGCCUUAUGGGUUGUAAAACUGCUUUUUAUAUGGGAAAGAAAUAAAGGGCGUACGUGUACGGUG